Non-coding RNA from Podarcis lilfordi (Lilford's wall lizard), 73 nucleotides. The record is from the annotation of a GenBank genome assembly. Lineage: Eukaryota; Metazoa; Chordata; Lepidosauria; Squamata; Lacertidae.
UCUGAGCUCAGUUGGUAGAGCAUGAGACUCUUAAUCUCAGGGUUGUGUGUUGGAGCUCCACAAUUGGGCAAAA